Molecule: ribosomal RNA, 443 nt
Filed under: uncultured bacterium
Lineage: Bacteria
Description: bacterial SSU rRNA
Rfam family: Bacterial small subunit ribosomal RNA
Source: RNAcentral
GAUGAAACGCUGGCGGCGUGCCUAACACAUGCAAGUCGAACGAAGCAAUCAGAAUGAAGUUUUCGGAUGGAUUUCGGAUUGACUGAGUGGCGGACGGGUGAGUAACGCGUGGAUAACCUGCCUCACACUGGGGAUAACAGUUAGAAAUGGCUGCUAAUACCGCAUAAGCGCACAGUGCCGCAUGGUACGGUGUGAAAAACUCCGGUGGUGUGAGAUGGAUCCGCGUCUGAUUAGCUGGUUGGUGGGGUAACGGCCUACCAAGGCGACGAUCAGUAGCCGGCCUGAGAGGGCGACCGGCCACAUUGGGGACUGAGACACGGCCCAAAACUCCUACGGGAGGCAGCAGUGGGGAAUAUUGCACAAUGGGCGAAAGCCUGAUGCAGCGACGCCGCGUGAGCGAUGAAGUAUUUCGGUAUGUAAAGCUCUAUCAGCAGGGAAGAAAA